GGCCACGUGGCGGAGUGGUUACGCAGCGGCCUGCAAAGCCGUGGACGUCAGUUCGAUUCUGACCGUGGCCUCCA
RNAcentral lists this transfer RNA (74 nucleotides) under Rhodobiaceae bacterium. RNAcentral's name for it is "tRNA-Cys". It matches the Rfam family "tRNA". Rfam says of the family: Transfer RNA (tRNA) molecules are approximately 80 nucleotides in length. Their secondary structure includes four short double-helical elements and three loops (D, anti-codon, and T loops). Lineage: Bacteria; Pseudomonadati; Pseudomonadota; Alphaproteobacteria; Hyphomicrobiales; Rhodobiaceae. The record is from RNAcentral.